RNAcentral lists this ribosomal RNA (425 nucleotides) under uncultured bacterium. RNAcentral describes it as "bacterial SSU rRNA". It matches the Rfam family "Bacterial small subunit ribosomal RNA", at positions 354 to 796 of the family's 1533-position model. The record is from RNAcentral.
GUGGGGAAUCUUGCGCAAUGGGCGAAAGCCUGACGCAGCCAUGCCGCGUGAAUGAUGAAGAUCUUAGGAUUGUAAAAUUCUUUCACCGGGGACGAUAAUGACGGUACCCGGAGAAGAAGCUCCGGCUAACUUCGUGCCAGCAGCCGCGGUAAUACGAAGGGGGCUAGCGUUGCUCGGAAUUACUGGGCGUACAGGGCGCGUAGGCGGACAGCUUAGUCAGAGGUGAAAGCCCAGGGCUCAACCUUGGAAUUGCCUUUGAUACUGGCUGUCUUGAGUUUGGGAGAGGUGAGUGGAACUCCGAGUGUAGAGGUGAAAUUCGUAGAUAUUCGGAAGAACACCAGUGGCGAAGGCGACUCACUGGCCCAAUACUGACGCUGAGGCGCGAAAGCGUGGGGAGCAAACAGGAUUAGAUACCCGGGUAGUCC